GGCCCAAAUUUGAAUUAGAGUAGAUUAGUAGGAUCAGUUAACCCUACUGAACUACCGUACUUCAAGUUUGUGCCC
Non-coding RNA from Haemonchus contortus (barber pole worm), 75 nucleotides. NCBI's taxonomy places the organism in Eukaryota, Metazoa, Nematoda, Chromadorea, Rhabditida, Trichostrongylidae. The record is from Rfam.